UGGGGAAUCUUGCGCAAUGCGCGAAAGCGUGACGCAGCAACGCCGCGUGGGGGAAGACGGCCUUCGGGUUGUAAACCCCUUUCAGGAGGGACGAAGGUUCGCCGGUGAAUAGCCGUGCGGAUUGACGGUACCUCCACAAGAAGCUCCGGCUAACUACGUGCCAGCAGCCGCGGUAAUACGUAGGGAGCAAGCGUUGUCCGGAAUCAUUGGGCGUAAAGCGCGCGUAGGUGGCCUCGUAAGUCCGCUGUGAAAGUCCAAGGCUCAACCUUGGAAAGCCGGUGGAUACUGUGAGGCUAGAGUACGGAAGAGGCGAGUGGAAUUCCUGGUGUAGCGGUGGAAUGCGCAGAUAUCAGGAGGAACACCAAUAGCGAAGGCAGCUCGCUGGGACGUUACUGACACUGAGGCGCGAAAGCGUGGGGAGCGAACAGG
Molecule: ribosomal RNA, 429 nt
Filed under: uncultured bacterium
Lineage: Bacteria
Description: bacterial SSU rRNA
Rfam family: Bacterial small subunit ribosomal RNA
Source: RNAcentral